RNAcentral lists this ribosomal RNA (253 nucleotides) under uncultured Oscillospiraceae bacterium. RNAcentral's name for it is "partial 16S ribosomal RNA". It matches the Rfam family "Bacterial small subunit ribosomal RNA", at positions 524 to 776 of the family's 1533-position model. The record is from RNAcentral. Lineage: Bacteria; Bacillati; Bacillota; Clostridia; Eubacteriales; Oscillospiraceae.
UACGUAGGUGGCAAGCGUUGUCCGGAUUUACUGGGUGUAAAGGGCGUGUAGCCGGGAAGGCAAGUCAGAUGUGAAAUCCGGAGGCUCAACCUCCGAAUUGCAUUUGAAACUGUUUUUCUUGAGUACUGGAGAGGCAGACGGAAUUCCUUGUGUAGCGGUGGAAUGCGUAGAUAUUAGGAGGAACACCAGUGGCGAAGGCGAUUUGCUGGACUGUAACUGACACUGAGGCACGAAAGCGUGGGGAGCAAACAGG